RNAcentral lists this ribosomal RNA (234 nucleotides) under uncultured bacterium. Its description in RNAcentral is "partial 16S ribosomal RNA". It matches the Rfam family "Bacterial small subunit ribosomal RNA", at positions 330 to 559 of the family's 1533-position model. The record is from RNAcentral.
UCCGGCCUACGGGGGGCAGCAGUAGGGAAUCUUCCACAAUGGGCGCAAGCCUGACGGAGCAACGCCGCGUGGGUGAAGAAGGUCUUCGGAUCGGAAAACCCUGUUGUUAGAGAAGAAAGUGCGUGAGAGUAACUGUUCACGUUUCGACGGUAUCUAACCAGAAAGCCACGGCUAACUACGUGCCAGCAGCCGCGGUAAUACGUAGGUGGCAAGCGUUAUCCGGAUUUACUGGGU